Molecule: ribosomal RNA, 751 nt
Filed under: bacterium
Lineage: Bacteria
Description: bacterial SSU rRNA
Rfam family: Bacterial small subunit ribosomal RNA
Source: RNAcentral
AGAUAAGGAGCUUGCUCCUUUGAAGUUAGCGGCGGACGGGUGAGUAACACGUGGGUAACCUACCUAUAAGACUGGAAUAACUUCGGGAAACCGGAGCUAAUGCCGGAUAACAUAUAGAACCGCAUGGUUCUAUAGUGAAAGAUGGUUUUGCUAUCACUUAUAGAUGGACCCGCGCCGUAUUAGCUAGUUGGUAAGGUAAUGGCUUACCAAGGCGACGAUACGUAGCCGACCUGAGAGGGUGAUCGGCCACACUGGAACUGAGACACGGUCCAGACUCCUACGGGAGGCAGCAGUAGGGAAUCUUCCGCAAUGGGCGAAAGCCUGACGGAGCAACGCCGCGUGAGUGAUGAAGGUUUUCGGAUCGUAAAACUCUGUUAUUAGGGAAGAACAAAUGCGUAAGUAACUGUGCGCAUCUUGACGGUACCUAAUCAGAAAGCCACGGCUAACUACGUGCCAGCAGCCGCGGUAAUACGUAGGUGGCAAGCGUUAUCCGGAAUUAUUGGGCGUAAAGCGCGCGUAGGCGGUUUCUUAAGUCUGAUGUGAAAGCCCACGGCUCAACCGUGGAGGGUCAUUGGAAACUGGGAAACUUGAGUGCAGAAGAGGAAAGUGGAAUUCCAUGUGUAGCGGUGAAAUGCGCAGAGAUAUGGAGGAACACCAGUGGCGAAGGCGACUUUCUGGUCUGUAACUGACGCUGAUGUGCGAAAGCGUGGGGAUCAAACAGGAUUAGAUACCCUGGUAGUCCACGCCGUAA